GAGGAGAAUCAUUCGAGAAUUUUGUGUAAAAUGUCGGCGAGCGGCGGACGGCUGAGUAACGCGUGGGAAUGUACCCCAAAGUGAGGGAUAACGCACCGAAAGGUGUGCUAAUACCGCAUAUGAUCUUCGGAUUAAAGCCUUCGGGCGCUUUGGGAACAGCCUGCGUCAGAUUAGAUAGUUGGUGAGGUAAUGGCUCACCAAGUCAACGAUCUGUAACUGGUUUGAGAGGAUGAUCAGUCAGACUGGAACUGAGACACGGUCCAGACUCCUACGGGAGGCAGCAGUGAGGAAUCUUCCACAAUGGGCGAAAGCCUGAUGGAGCAACGCCGCGUGCAGGACGAAGGCCUUCGGGUUGUAAACUGCUUUUAUAAGUGAGGAAUAUGACAGUAACUUAUGAAUAAGGAUCGGCUAACUACGUGCCAGCAGCCGCGGUCAUACGUAGGAUCCGAGCGUUAUCCGGAGUGACUGGGCGUAAAGAGUUGCGUAGGUGGUUUAAUAAGCGAAUAGUGAAAUCUGGUGGCUCAACCAUUCAGACUAUUAUUCGAACUGUUGAACUCGAGAGCAGAAGAGGUAGCUGGAAUUUCUAGUGUAGGAGUGAAAUCCGUAGAUAUUAGAAGGAACACCGAUGGCGUAGGCAGGCUACUGGGCUGUUUCUGACACUG
RNAcentral lists this ribosomal RNA (662 nucleotides) under uncultured bacterium. RNAcentral describes it as "bacterial SSU rRNA". It matches the Rfam family "Bacterial small subunit ribosomal RNA", at positions 64 to 748 of the family's 1533-position model. The record is from RNAcentral.